AAUGGAGCCAAUAAUAAAAUAUGAAUGAUUAACCUUCAUCAGCCUCUGGAGGAUCACAGUCCAACAUCUUUACUGCACACAGCUGUAAAAACACCAGAUUAGGUUGUUUUAUUCACAUUUAUCAGAGAUCUCAGGAGAGACUUUAUAUCAAACAGAGGAGGAGCAGAGGAGCAGAGGAGCAGAGGAGGCUCACAGUGACUCAGGAGGUGUUGGACUGUUUGUCUGAGCAGCACCUCUGCCCUCUCACUGUCACUCAGACUGGACUGAGCAUGGAUCAGAGAGAGACCAGAGAGGACGGAGCCCCUCCCUCUAUAAAAGCUCACAGACCUGCUCCUGAGGACAGCGACAUCCCAUUCAAGAGUGUUCGCUCUAUGGUACGAGGGAUAGAGUCAAAAAGAGAACAUGGUCCAGAACCUGCUCCUGAGGCCAGAGGCGUCUCAUUCAAGAGGGUUGGAUCUAUGGGACGAGGUCGACAGUAAGUCAGACUCAACACCUCAUAAUGUCAGGACUUUAUGUUCACAGCCUUUUUAGAAUGAUAUGGAUGACUUGUUUUUUAUUAAACUCAACAUAAGUGUAAGAGCUGCAGAUGACCUCUGUGACUGUGAGGAGGAACUUCAUGCUCGUCUCAGCAGCAGGAAAUGCAACACACUUAUGUCUUUGUCCUACAAAAGUCCUUCUAUGAGAUCCUAGUCCAGGCCCAUCACCCGCUGGACCUGCUCAAGUCACAUGACUUUAACCACUGUGUUUCUCCAACAGAGACACUUUAGAUUUGAAACUGGAAUUAAAAUGGAGUCUGAAAAGAGACAACAGUCGACAAACUUCUUUCAGUAAAAGGAAGAAAACAACAAACUUUAAUAAUUCAGAUAAAACUGUCAUGGCCCAGACAAAUAGACAAGUUUAUUAUAACACAAUUCAUACACAAAGUCAUUCAAAGAGCUUUACAGAAUAAGAAAGACAUUAAACUCACAAAACAAACAAAACAUAAAUAAUCAUAAUAAAAGUGUAGAGCUGAAUAAAACCUCUCAGUCAUAUGCACAGAUAAACAGAACCGUUUGAGCCUGGAUUUAAACACUGUCAGAGCAGAGGCCUGUCUCACAUCUUCAGGAAGGAACUAGACCAGGACUAA
Long non-coding RNA from Periophthalmus magnuspinnatus, 1126 nucleotides. RefSeq lists it as uncharacterized. NCBI's taxonomy places the organism in Eukaryota, Metazoa, Chordata, Actinopteri, Gobiiformes, Gobiidae. The record is from RefSeq and is a predicted model, not a curated record. The transcript has 4 exons.